CAAGUCGAACGGAGCUUAGAGGGCUCGCUUUUUAAGCUUAGUGGCGAACGGGUGAGUAACGCGUGAGUAACCUGCCCUGGAGUGGGGGACAACAGUUGGAAACGACUGCUAAUACCGCAUAAGCCCACGGUACCGCAUGGUACUGAGGGAAAAGGAUUUAUUCGCUUUAGGAUGGACUCGCGUCCAAUUAGCUAGUUGGUGAGGUAACGGCCCACCAAGGCGACGAUUGGUAGCCGGACUGAGAGGUUGAACGGCCACAUUGGGACUGAGACACGGCCCAGACUCCUACGGGAGGCAGCAGUGGGGGAUAUUGCACAAUGGGGGAAACCCUGAUGCAGCGACGCCGCGUGGAGGAAGAAGGCUUUCGGAUUGUAAACUCCUGUCGUUAGGGACGAUAAUGACGGUACCUAACAAGAAAGCACCGGCUAACUACGUGCCAGCAGCCGCGGUAAAACGUAGGGUGCAAGCGUUGUCCGGAAUUACUGGGUGUAAAGGGAGCGCAGGCGGGAAGACAAGUUGGAAGUGAAAACCAUGGGCUCAACCCAUGAAUUGCUUUCAAAACUGUUUUUCUUGAGUAGUGCAGAGGUAGAUGGAAUUCCCGGUGUAGCGGUGGAAUGCGUAGAUAUCGGGAGGAACACCAGUGGCGAAGGCG
This 652-nucleotide ribosomal RNA is filed under the name uncultured Lachnospiraceae bacterium. Its description in RNAcentral is "bacterial SSU rRNA". It matches the Rfam family "Bacterial small subunit ribosomal RNA", at positions 58 to 723 of the family's 1533-position model. Lineage: Bacteria; Bacillati; Bacillota; Clostridia; Lachnospirales; Lachnospiraceae. The record is from RNAcentral.